GAUUAACGCUGGCGGCGUGCCUAAUGCAUGCAAGUCGAACGUGGCCCUUUCGGGGGACAACGUGGCGGACGGGUGAGGAACACGUGGGGAACCUGCCCAUUGGUGGGGGGUAGCCCGCGGAAACGCGGGGUAAUUCCGCAUACGCUCGCUUGAGAGUAACUCAGGUGAGGAAAGGGUCUUCGGACUCGCCGAUGGAGGGGCCUGCGUCCGAUUAGCUUGUUGGUGGGGUAACGGCCUACCAAGGCGAUGAUCGGUAGCUGGUCUGAGAGGACGGCCAGCCACAGGGGGACUGAGACACGGCCCCCACUCCUACGGGUGGCU
Molecule: ribosomal RNA, 321 nt
Filed under: uncultured Chloroflexota bacterium
Lineage: Bacteria; Bacillati; Chloroflexota
Description: bacterial SSU rRNA
Rfam family: Bacterial small subunit ribosomal RNA
Source: RNAcentral